GGAUGCGAUCAUACUAGCACUAAAGCAUCGGAUCCCAUCAGAACUCCGAAGUUAAGCGUGCUUGGGUGAGAGUAGUACUAGGAUGGGUGACCUCCUGGGAAGUCCUCGUGUUGCAUUAC
RNAcentral lists this ribosomal RNA (119 nucleotides) under Triticum aestivum (bread wheat). The record is from RNAcentral. Lineage: Eukaryota; Viridiplantae; Streptophyta; Magnoliopsida; Poales; Poaceae.